Pseudopipra pipra is the source of this 6755-nucleotide long non-coding RNA. RefSeq lists it as uncharacterized. Lineage: Eukaryota; Metazoa; Chordata; Aves; Passeriformes; Pipridae. The transcript is spliced from 2 exons. The record is from RefSeq and is a predicted model, not a curated record.
CCAGCUCCUUCUCCAGCUCCAGCGUCAGCGCCUCCAGCCGCCUCUCCGCCUGGCUGGGGCCGCUCUCCCGGCACGGCGUCACCUGGUUGGAAAAUUCUACAUUAACACAGUCCUGGUGACUAAUAGCCAAUUAAGGACACUCAUAGUCCAGCAGUUCUGAAAAGCAGCUUUUCACUGAGCACAGCAGCAGUUUGCAUUUCAGUAAAAAUCAGUCCCUUCCAUGUUAAAGGAGGAUCUGGAGCAUUUUCUGGCCAUGUAACUCCUUCCUGCCCAGACAUCAGAGGCACGACGACAUCUGAACAGAUCCCCAGGGGAAUUCACCCCUGUGCAGGUGAGUUUUCCUUUCAUGCUGCAAACCAAAAGAUGAUACAUUGUUAUAAUUACUUAAUGCUUCUCUAAAACUUCCUCUCACCAGCAUCAUAAGAACAAUUAAUAACUUAAGGAGUAGAUACCAGUGAGACUGAAUAGAACCCCCCUAGUUUUUCACCCCCCCAAAAUCUGUCAGUGAUGAGUUAUUUUGAUUCAGUUCAUACACCACUGCCAAGUCAUGAAUACUCUCAAUUUCAGUAAAACUAAUGUAUUUGCCAGAAUUAUAACCUCUACUGUUAGAAUAGUUUUAAAAAGCUAGAAAGCUAAAUUUAAUCAAUACUUUUAUUUUUAAUCAAGCUUAAAACCCAAACAUGCCAGCCUUAACUUUUGGAAGAUGUCAUUAGACAUUAAAUUCUAGUGCUUCAGCUGUUUAUGGCAAGAAGUUUUUCAUUGUAGCACUGAAAAUCCUUCCUGUAAUGCCUCUUAUUUACAGCUUUACCUCUCAGUCUUUGCUCAUGCCAGCCAAGCAGCAGCCAACUCAAAAGGAUUUAAUUGCACAGUGAAGUAUUAGGCCUCCAAACAAGCCACUGCAUAUGACUAUUACUGCCUAAAACAAGAAAUAAAACAUGAAUUGCCUCGUAGAAGCAGUUCUGCACUGCACUGGCAAUUCAACACGAUGACUGUCAGAACCAGAUGCAGGAACCAAAACCUUUUUUGUUUUUACAUUUGCCUUCUGUAAUUUUGUUUAAAAGUCAUUCAGUUUGCAAAUUGUAACAGAAUAAAUCUUGCUGCUCAGUUGCUGUGCUCUGCAAGGCCAACUCUGCAUACUUACCUCUGAAUAGGAGCAGUUUUGGUUCCCUACCUGGAAGCUGGAAGAUAAUUUUGGUACAAUGACAAUUAAUGCAUCCUAAGAACCAACACUGAUAGUUUAGAGACCUACCAACACCCACAAAUGCAGUAGGUUUUAAGAUAUUGAUUCAAAACAUUGCACUUUUGUCCUACACACAAAGUGUAAUGUAUAAAAAUCAGUGCUUUCUUCUUUCUGAAGGCAGGAGGAGGUGAAAGCAUGUGUGUGGUGGUGCAACUGCUUCAGCUGAACAGCCCAAUAAUUGAUUGUCCAAGAAAAAAAAACAUUCACAAAAGUUUUAUUAAAAAAAUUCCCCUUUCACCUCAAACAAGUGAAGCUUAAGUUCUGUACUACUAGGUUAUGUUUAGAAAAAUGGAAAUAAUACAGUAAUUUUUGAAGGCUAUACAUUGUAAAAUCCCAUAAGUCAGCAUAAUCUUGGACUGUGCAAGCAAAUAUAGCAAGUAUUUCAGAUGUUAUUUAUUUGGUCCAUCAGAUGUACAGUAUAGUAGUAGUAUCUGAGUUUACAAAACAUCAAAUAUAAAUAACCUGAAACUGUAACAAUACACAAAAAUUUGCUUCUUACAUUGACAUACCAGGCAGUACGAGCUGAAAAACUGGAGUAAAUUAACAGUUUUACAGUAAUGUACACAGUGCCAGCUGAUGUUUGAGAACACUGUUAGAACAUGGCACUAAUUUGCUUGAAUUUUUUUCUUUACUUGUUCAGGGUGUGAAAAAUGUUUAGGACUAGGCUAAAAAUGUUUUUCUUCAAGCAUCUGUGACUGUGUGAAUGCUGGAGGUGAAGCCCUCACACAUGGAAUAAGGGAUAAGUAAAUGUGCAGGCAGGCCACUGCUGGGAAACUUCAAAGGUACUCACUGAAAAACUAGAAGUGUAGUUGCUUCAAAUCUGGGCAUCAGAUUUUACUAAACAAGUGGACAUUGUUUUUGCCCUGUUGGAUGAUACCUAAGAGGUAUUUACACAGAAAUAACAUGCUUUUUCCAUGAUUGUUUAAGCAAAUACUUAUCUGUAAGUAUUUAUAAGCUAUGUUUCUAUUACAUUUAAUAUAUGGAAUUAACAUGGAAAACAUUUCUGGACAAGUCUAGUGAUACGAGAGCUUUACCAUCAAGAGAAGCAGACACAAAUUAUUUAAGCCAGUGAUUUGGUGUUCACUUUGAACCAAGGCCUUAACAUUAGUCUAGUUCUGGACAUUUUUCACAUCCCAACACCAUAUGCUGUUACAGUAUUACAUUAUGUUGUCAAGGGGCAUUUGUGUGUUCAAUCAAAUGCCCUUGCUCCUGCUCUGCCAGCUCAGCACACGCUCUUGGUGGUGACGUACUCGCAGCCCUUCUCUUCGAGUUUCCUCUUGUGGCUCCUGUUCUCCUCCUCAGCGUUGCCUGAAGUACCUUCAUCCUCAGAAUCCACGAUCAUCAGGUCGUCCUGGUCCGAGCCCUGCCCAGCACGAGCCCUCUUUGCCCCGCCACACUCACACUGCUGGCCCAGUUUCCUCUUGCGGCUCCUGUUCUCCACCUCAUCAUCGGCGGUGCCUGAAGGACCUUCAUCUUCAGAGUCAACAAUCACCACAUCGUCCUGAUCUGGAGCUGCAAAACACAGAUGGAUACUGCAAAGACAGCCUGCCCUCCAGCUGAUUUUCAUACACAACAAUAAGCAUGUCUCUAAUACAAGAAAUCCACCUUGGAACAUUCUUUAUCCCUGUUCUUUGCUAUUCGACUGCAAGAGGGUUUUCGAUUUCCCUGAAGUGACUAUAAAAUAUGGCUUUCACAGUGUUAUUCCUUCUUCACCAAAGGUAUGGAAAAUAUUGCAAUAACCCAAGAAUUAGGGAAAUGCAGAAGAGGAGACUGAGGGGAGACCUCAGUGCAGUUCCAAUUCCUGGGCAGGGGCAGAGGAGGGGCAGGGACUGAGCUCUGCUCUGGGGGGACCAGGGACAGCAGCCAGGGAAUGGCUGGAGCUGUGUCAGGGCAGGCUCAGGUUGGAUCUCAGCCAAAGGUUCUUCCCCCAGAGGCUGGUUGGGCACUGCCCAGGCUCCCCAGGGCAGUGGGCACAGCCCCAAGGCUGCCAGAGCUCCAGGAGGGUUUGGCUGAUCCUCUGGGGCACAGGGGGUGACUCCUGGGGCUGGGCCUGUGCAGGGCCAGGGGUUGGACUGGAUGGUCCUUGUGAGUCCCUUCCAACUCAGCAUGUUCUGUGACUCUGUAACUUGUUCUGCAUGCACAAAGCAGAACAAUCCCAUGCUGCCUGGAGCAGUUUUUGAGAAAAGAACUUUUCCAAACCCCAAGCUGUAGUGCAGCCUCUCCUCUCCAUCCACACUCAGCAGAACUCCCAGGAGAGGCCACACUCCAUGAGAGAGAACCCACAAAGAAAGGGAGAAGUGGAAGGGUGAGCAGAUUUACAGAGCUAGAGGAUAACAAUGGAUAGUAUAAAAAGGCAAAAUAGAACCAAAUGUGAACUUAUAAGACAUCUAGUGGAUUUGGUUUGUUUUUAAGCACAAAUUCACUGUAAAAACUAAUUUUAUGCUAUUUUUGUUAUUUUUUUAAUAUAAUUUGAAAUAAAUUUUAGCAGUGUUCUUUAAAUUUAGUCUCCCCUGAAACAGGAGGCAAGUGACUACAUACUUGUCUGCUUUAAUCUGCCAGGCAAAGGAACAGCAUCCCACAGUGUAAACAGAACUAUGGAUCCCUAACUCACAUCUGCCACAGCAAGUCCUUGGAUUCAUACACUGUCCCUGUCAAGCAGUGUGACAUUUCCAGUUCAUUAGCCUCCACUUCUUAAGCAUUCCAUGUGCAUUUAAGUUAAGCUAUUUUGAGUGUGUUCAAAGAAAGUCCACAUUAGGAAGGUGAUGGUAUUUCUUCCUGAGAGCAGAGUCUUUUCUCUUUAGGGAGAAAGUGAUAAAUUUGGUUGAUUCUUUUUUGUCAAGCAGCAGUGUGACUAUGAGUUAGGAAGGGUCUAACUUUAUUUAAAUCACUGUGCAAAUGAUACAUUUAAGCUGACACCCCACCAGGCCCUUGCCAGGUAAAUAAUAUAAUUUCAAGCUGUAUUUGCUGUAAACUUCUGUGCAUUUUGUAACAACUGUAAAUGUGCAUUUUUCUAUUUAAUAUCUCAAGUUAUACACAGAGGCAACUUAAAUGCCUUUUAUUUUGUUUUGGCAAAGUUAAGUCAUAAAACUGAAGACAACUACUUUAAUUGGACUGCACUGUUGAAAGACUAUUUGGUUUAAUUGAAUACCAAACCCUGUUAUUUACCUGUUGAUGUUGAGGGCUGUGCUCCAUCAUCACUCCCAUUGCUGAUGUUCCUCGAUGGUGGUUCGGAUGGUUUAGGGCCAAUUCUUUCAGGGGCGUCACCAACAACUUCAAAUUCCACAUCUUUUUCUAGGUCUUCACUGCAGAAAAAACACAUGUGCUUUGGAACACCCAGGAGAAAACAAAACCCUGCCUUUUCACAAAGAAAACAUCAUUCAAGUAUUACAGCACCCUGCAACUAUGACAAAAGGAGAAAAACAUAUCGAAAAAGAGGCAAAGCUGGUCAGUCCUCCUUUGUAAUUCAUGCUUUGUCCAUUCAUAAACACUGUUCCACCCAGGGCCAGGCUUUAACAUGCUCAGGAGGCAGAAAAAUCAUUACCUGAGCUCACCUUUGCUCCUUAAUGUCCCACUCCUAUUCUCUCUGAACAUCUAGUGUGUUCAUUUACUGUCUAUAACGUGUCUGUUACUUAUCCAGGGUUACAUACACUCACCAGUUAUUUCAAAGUGACUUCUCAACACAGGUAGUCAAGUAGAGGAUCUGUUACCUCAGGUUUCCUUUUUAAAUUUUGUUUUAUUUCAAAUGGCAGUUUCUUGCUAGUUGUUUCCCCAAAAGUAUAUUUGGUUUUGCACUGUGUUUUUAUGUUGUGUAAUGACAAAUUAUUCAAAGAAACCUUUCUGAUGCUGUUGUAAAAAACCAAAACCACAACAACAAAACCACCCAAAACAAAACCAAACAAAAAGCCUUAAACUCUAUAAUUUCAUAAAAAAAAAUAACAAUUCCUCUUUUACCACUACAUUUGUUUUCAGCAGCUUAGUCUUGGAACUUCGUCCAUGUAUUUUAAAAUUCUGAGUGGAAAACCCCUGUGGAACUGUUCUACAUACACACAUCCCAAAUCAUUAUUUCAGAAUCUUACCUAUGAAGCACAUUGAUUAACAGAGUGUAGUCCUGCAGGAAAUCAUCUGCCUGUAGUCGAGUGCCAUUUCGAAUUGCAAAGUCUGAUAACUUCCUGUGGUUAUUUGCUACAAAAACAAUAAAAUCUGCAGUGUUUACAGCUAUUUAUAUAAAGAUCCUUUACACCUGAAUCAAUAUGAUGAAAGGAAUACUCCAGAAGUUUUAUGUAGAAACAUAAGCUUAGCAUUUAUGAGCUAUAUUUAAAGUAAAAGCUGACUUUUAAGCCUGUUAGGAGUUAAAACUACUUAUGUUGACUUAUUUACCCCUCAUGCAUCGUGUUCAAGCUCUUCACAAUUCCAUUUAGGAACAUUUUGGAGAUGAUAUCUGUACUUCAGUAGUGCCUACAAGCAUCAUAAACAGACCACCCUCUAAGAACCACAAAAUGAAGGGGGCUUGCAAACAGGUACCUAUUUUGGAGAGGAAUCCUGGAAGUACUUCCUGCAGGAAAGCUGGACAUGCAGGCCUGCACACAAUACCACUGCCUGUUCUCAGGCCACUCAAAACACUUGCAAAUCCAGUUCUCUUUAAAUAUCAGUCUACAGGAUGAACACUGCAACACCUGCUAUGCACAUAUUUUGUAUGGUUUCUUCCAAGGUUUUGUCUACUCUUAUCUAAAAACCUUCAGGACUCAUACCUUCUGUUUCUCCUUCUUCUGAAGAGAUAAGGAUAGUUCCCUUUCCAUCAUCUAUUUCUACAUCUGGUGCUACCAUAGCAAAUUUCUCUUUCAGUAUCUGAAAAUACAAAUAUGAUUAUUUAAUCAAUAUCUGACUUAAACACACUUAUAAAAAAAGAACCUUGAAUUAUGUUGAUUUUAUUAUCCUGGCAUCUACUGAAAGCCUAUACUUUUCUUUUUUUCCACUUCCUUGAACAAACUGAUUAUAUUUUUGAUGUCUGAUAUCUCCAGGUUCAGAUAUGCUGGAAAGUUUUUUAGAAUACUUCAUAAAAUGACAGAAUUACAAAUCAAUUGUGACUAAACAACUGUAAUGUGGCUACUGAACUAUUCAACUGCAAUAUAAAUUUAGUUUGUUGUUGUCAGAUAUGAAUAGGCUUUAAAACCAUAAAAAAAUUACCAAAUGCAAACAUUCCUUCACAAGACACAGAACACACAUGGGCAAGAAGCAUCUUGGUUAAUCCAGCUCUUCUUGCAGCUGAGAGAAAUGUAAAUAUAAGCAGGUGAUGCUCAGUCAAAACACAAUGAACAAAAGCCUACCUUUAAAAAUAUACAGUAUUAGGAUCACCCUCGUAUCUGACUCGGGAUUUACCUUAUCCUGGAGUGUUAACACAGUAACUUUGUGCACGUUCAGCUUCACAGUCACUUCUGGCUUACUUGCACACACAUAACAGUUAGGGUUUGGUGGAUCCAAAGCACAAGGAACCAACAGCUUCUUCCUGGGAUUCGGC